RNAcentral lists this ribosomal RNA (164 nucleotides) under uncultured bacterium. RNAcentral's name for it is "partial 16S rRNA". It matches the Rfam family "Bacterial small subunit ribosomal RNA", at positions 355 to 511 of the family's 1533-position model. The record is from RNAcentral.
UAGGGAAUCUUCCACAAUGGACGAAAGUCUGAUGGAGCAACGCCGCGUGAGUGAAGAAGGGUUUCGGCUCGUAAAACUCUGUUGUUAGAGAAGAACAUAUCUGAGAGUAACUGUUCAGGUAUUGACGGUAUUUAACCAGAAAGCCACGGCUAACUACGUGCCAC